RNAcentral lists this ribosomal RNA (365 nucleotides) under Campylobacter coli. Its description in RNAcentral is "bacterial SSU rRNA". It matches the Rfam family "Bacterial small subunit ribosomal RNA", at positions 1106 to 1471 of the family's 1533-position model. Lineage: Bacteria; Pseudomonadati; Campylobacterota; Epsilonproteobacteria; Campylobacterales; Campylobacteraceae. The record is from RNAcentral.
UAUCCUUUGUUGCCAGCGAUUAGGUCGGGAACUCAAAGGAGACUGCCAGUGAUAAACUGGAGGAAGGUGGGGAUGACGUCAAGUCAUCAUGGCCCUUACGACCAGGGCUACACACGUGCUACAAUGGCGCAUACAAAGAGAAGCGACCUCGCGAGAGCAAGCGGACCUCAUAAAGUGCGUCGUAGUCCGGAUUGGAGUCUGCAACUCGACUCCAUGAAGUCGGAAUCGCUAGUAAUCGUGGAUCAGAAUGCCACGGUGAAUACGUUCCCGGGCCUUGUACACACCGCCCGUCACACCAUGGGAGUGGGUUGCAAAAGAAGUAGGUAGCUUAACCUUCGGGAGGGCGCUUACCACUUUGUGAUUCA